AAAUUGAAGAGUUUGAUCAUGGCUCAGAUUGAACGCUGGCGGCAGGCCUAACACAUGCAAGUCGAACGGUAACAGGAAGAAGCUUGCUUCUUUGCUGACGAGUGGCGGACGGGUGAGUAAUGUCUGGGAAACUGCCUGAUGGAGGGGGAUAACUACUGGAAACGGUAGCUAAUACCGCAUAACGUCGCAAGACCAAAGAGGGGGACCUUCGGGCCUCUUGCCAUCGGAUGUGCCCAGAUGGGAUUAGCUAGUAGGUGGGGUAAAGGCUCACCUAGGCGACGAUCCCUAGCUGGUCUGAGAGGAUGACCAGCCACACUGGAACUGAGACACGGUCCAGACUCCUACGGGAGGCAGCAGUGGGGAAUAUUGCACAAUGGGCGCAAGCCUGAUGCAGCCAUGCCGCGUGUAUGAAGAAGGCCUUCGGGUUGUAAAGUACUUUCAGCGGGGAGGAAGGGAGUAAAGUUAAUACCUUUGCUCAUUGACGUUACCCGCAGAAGAAGCACCGGCUAACUCCGUGCCAGCAGCCGCGGUAAUACGGAGGGUGCAAGCGUUAAUCGGAAUUACUGGGCGUAAAGCGCACGCAGGCGGUUUGUUAAGUCAGAUGUGAAAUCCCCGGGCUCAACCUGGGAACUGCAUCUGAUACUGGCAAGCUUGAGUCUCGUAGAGGGGGGUAGAAUUCCAGGUGUAGCGGUGAAAUGCGUAGAGAUCUGGAGGAAUACCGGUGGCGAAGGCGGCCCCCUGGACGAAGACUGACGCUCAGGUGCGAAAGCGUGGGGAGCAAACAGGAUUAGAUACCCUGGUAGUCCACGCCGUAAACGAUGUCGACUUGGAGGUUGUGCCCUUGAGGCGUGGCUUCCGGAGCUAACGCGUUAAGUCGACCGCCUGGGGAGUACGGCCGCAAGGUUAAAACUCAAAUGAAUUGACGGGGGCCCGCACAAGCGGUGGAGCAUGUGGUUUAAUUCGAUGCAACGCGAAGAACCUUACCUGGUCUUGACAUCCACGGAAGUUUUCAGAGAUGAGAAUGUGCCUUCGGGAACCGUGAGACAGGUGCUGCAUGGCUGUCGUCAGCUCGUGUUGUGAAAUGUUGGGUUAAGUCCCGCAACGAGCGCAACCCUUAUCCUUUGUUGCCAGCGGUCCGGCCGGGAACUCAAAGGAGACUGCCAGUGAUAAACUGGAGGAAGGUGGGGAUGACGUCAAGUCAUCAUGGCCCUUACGACCAGGGCUACACACGUGCUACAAUGGCGCAUACAAAGAGAAGCGACCUCGCGAGAGCAAGCGGACCUCAUAAAGUGCGUCGUAGUCCGGAUUGGAGUCUGCAACUCGACUCCAUGAAGUCGGAAUCGCUAGUAAUCGUGGAUCAGAAUGCCACGGUGAAUACGUUCCCGGGCCUUGUACACACCGCCCGUCACACCAUGGGAGUGGGUUGCAAAAGAAGUAGGUAGCUUAACCUUCGGGAGGGCGCUUACCACUUUGUGAUUCAUGACUGGGGUGAAGUCGUAACAAGGUAACCGUAGGGGAACCUGCGGUUGGAUCACCUCCUUACCUUAAAGAAGC
This 1554-nucleotide ribosomal RNA is filed under the name Escherichia coli. RNAcentral's name for it is "bacterial SSU rRNA". It matches the Rfam family "Bacterial small subunit ribosomal RNA". Lineage: Bacteria; Pseudomonadati; Pseudomonadota; Gammaproteobacteria; Enterobacterales; Enterobacteriaceae. The record is from RNAcentral.